Stegostoma tigrinum is the source of this 2778-nucleotide long non-coding RNA. RefSeq lists it as uncharacterized. The record is from RefSeq and is a predicted model, not a curated record. Lineage: Eukaryota; Metazoa; Chordata; Chondrichthyes; Orectolobiformes; Stegostomatidae. The transcript is spliced from 3 exons.
CGGAGCUGUUUUCAGAUGAGUUUUGAAUACCACAUUCAUGCAUGUGCUGGACACACUUGGUUUUACAGCUCCUCUUUCGCCCUCGACCUGCAUUAGCUCUUCCUAUGAGCUCCACACAGAGGGCAGGACGCAGGACUUUGAAAUAACUACGUUGUGAAACCCAGCACAGUCGAGGAUUUUUUUUUAAAAAAGGUGACGGAUUGUAACAAACUCCCAGAUUAAAACCAAUGCAGGUAAACUUCUGUCUUGUAUCGCAUCGAUCUCUCACUUACAGAAGUGUUACCAGAACUAAACCUUAAAACUCUUUUCUCAAAGAAACUUGGAAACUUACUAGAAACAGCAGUGCAGCAAGGGGAUUUUAACACGAACCCCCUGUACAGAUCAUGUAGCAAUUCCACCCGAGUAUUGAUCUAUCCUGCACUGAGCACUUCAAGAGGAACGUGUUAUCCUGGAGCACUGUGCUGUGCUGUAUUGCACUCACCUCCGAGUAAAAGAUCCCCAUCAGUGCCCUGGACGCUCUGAGAGCCAGGCAGCGGUAAAACAGGCGGAAAAGUCGAACUCUUAGGCUGUGCCCAGUGCAGUGGUUCUCUCAAUAGGAACCGUCAACUGAGAGGGAAUACUCCCUCAGCCUUCCACAAACUUUACCCAAACACGCCACAAAAAUGCCAACAUUUGAACCAGUUUCAAAGAAAGGGGGCUUCGGACGUUCAACAAAAAAUAAACCGGUUGUACGAAGGCUGAAGGUGGGAGUGUCAGUUAUUCACAGCACGUUCAUUGGACAAGGUUGUGUUGAGACUUCUGGAAUGUAAAGGAACAAGUCGGUGCAGGUGAAAGCUGAGAAUUUUCUUUUGGCUCGGUGUUAGACUAACUUGUCUCGAAUCAGACCCAGUUAUAUUUUCUGUUUUAUCCCGAGAACAUCUCACCAUUUACCAGCUUUGCAAAAUUGCUGUCACUCUUUCUGAUCACAUUUUCCUCCUCUCAGUUGCCAAUGUUAAUUCGCCCCAAUUUGUUAAUUCCGUUUAAAACACACUGUUGAGAUCCGCAAUUAAAUGUGUACACCGAGUUCAUUAUACCUUGUAUUGCUGAACUUGUAUUAAUGUGGAACGUGAUUUUAUGAUCUGCACCGUCUGGAAAGACAAUGGAAGUCGAUUCAAUAGUAAUGUUCAAAACAGAAAUGGACAAACAUGAGCAGAAGCAGACCAUUCUUUGAGUCGCAAUGAAUAAUAGAAAAGCCGAGGAUUUUGCGUUCAGAGGAAACAGUUUAAAAUGAGUUAAGAUACUUUAAAUGACUGUGAAGCCAUGUGACCUGAACGUAGCCAAAUUCAACAAGAAUUUAUAACGGAAUGUAACGUGGCUGGACCUGUCCACCACAUCCUGAAAAGGCCAUACAACAGCAAUGACGUUACAACUCAUCACCUGGACUGUAUGUGGUUCACUAGAGACGUUCAAAUCUCUCUGGGCUCAAGACUUGGCAAUUACAGGAAUUUCAAGAACAAGUACUAUCCUCCAAAAGGCUGUAAAAGGAAAUAUUAAACCGUUCAUGCUGUCCUCCUCUGCUUCUUCCAUCUAUUUCAAAGCAUAACAGGGCAACUCUGCCGUUAGAUUGUCAGAACUCUUUACAUUAAAGUAGAUUGCCCCCAACUUGCACAUCAAACCACCCCACUUCUGGAAGAAGCCAUGACUGUAGAUAUUUUUAUGUCAACCUAUUCAGAUACAUCUCUCAGGUAGCUGAGACUUGAACCUGGAGCUUCAGGCCCAAAGGUAGGGACACUGCCACUGCACUACAAGACCCCAAGCCAUGACUGUAAUUUUGUGGUUUUGCUACAAAAAGUAGUAAUGUCAAGAGGAAAGCUUUGCCGCAGAAUAUAAAAGCAUGCAUGCGUAUCACUUUGCAGUCAUCAAGCUGGAUCCCCAUCUCUGUGACAUGUUGGAAUAAAUCUGAGAUGAAGAUUUGAAAUUAAAAGAGACUUCAAGUGCCAUUGUUCUGACUCUGGUCGAAGUACUGAUUGCAAUUUAAAGCUGUCACCAGUAGAUCAACCAGCUCAGCCACAGGCCUCUCUGGAACUUCAAAGAUGAGACUGGAAUUGUUUAAAUUGUUGACAUGGAGGUGCCAGUAUUUGUCUGGGAUGGAAAAAGUCAGAAGUCACCUGAUGAAGGAGCAGCGCUGCAAAAGCUUAUGAUUUCAAGUAAACAUGUUGCACUAAAACCUGCUGCUGCUAGAUCUGCUGAGCUCUUCCAACAACUUCUGUUUGUGUUCCUGAUUUACAGCAUCCACAGUUCUUUUGGUUUUUGUUGAAAGAUGUCUUGGUCAAGAAUAGAUGAUGAAGAUACAUUUCCUCGAAAAAGCCAAAAUACGUGUAGUGGCGUGCAUAGACUCACCUAUUGGAUUUGUAAAAACCACCUCAGGUACAGGUGGACCUUUCUGGAGAUUUCCCUGAAGCUUUCCUCAGCUUGCUAAGACACCAAGAAGAAUUCCAAAAAGAAUGACCAUUUUAAAAAUUUAAUUCUUGCAGUGUGAGCAUCUCUUGAUGAGGCUGUCGAGUGUCUUGCCUGACUGUAAUUACCAUUGACUAGAUUGUGGUAACUGCAUUCCUGAACCACUGCAAUAUGGAUUUUUAACCCAGUGACAGAAAGUGAUAUAGUUCCAAGCCAAGAUUGUAUAUGUUUUAGAUGGAAACUUGGAAUUGGUGCUAUUCCCAUGUAUUUGUAGUUUUUUUUGUCUUCCAGGUGGUAGAGUUCACAGGUUUGUAAGGUGCUAUUAAAUGCAUAGCCGUUUUC